This 443-nucleotide ribosomal RNA is filed under the name Proasellus escolai. RNAcentral's name for it is "partial 16S ribosomal RNA". It matches the Rfam family "Bacterial large subunit ribosomal RNA", at positions 1863 to 2597 of the family's 2925-position model. The record is from RNAcentral. Lineage: Eukaryota; Metazoa; Arthropoda; Malacostraca; Isopoda; Asellidae.
CCUAUGAAUAGUUUAAAUGGCCGCAGUACUUUGACUGUGCAAAGGUAGCAUAAUCACUUGUCUCUUAAUUGGGGGCUGGAAUGAAGGAGGCGACGAAAUUUAGGCUAUUUAGUUAUAAAGCAAAAUUAACAUAAAGGUCAAAAGGCCUUUAUAAACCAAAGGGACGAUAAGACCCUAUAAAACUUUACUAUACAGUAGGUUGUUUAGAUAAGAUUUAAAUUAUAGUUUGACUGGGGCGGUUUACAUAAAAACAAUAGAAGUAGAAAUAUUUUAAAUAAAUUUAGAGAGCUCUGAAAGGAAAUGAGCAAGUUACUUUAGGGAUAACAGCAUAAUACUCCCAGAGAGUCCUAAUUGGCGGGAGAGCUUAUGACCUCGAUGUUGAAUUGGGAAGUCUAAUAUAAGUAGAAAUAUAUUAAGAUAGUCUGUUCGACUAUUAAAUUCCC